RNAcentral lists this ribosomal RNA (235 nucleotides) under uncultured bacterium. Its description in RNAcentral is "partial 16S ribosomal RNA". It matches the Rfam family "Bacterial small subunit ribosomal RNA", at positions 524 to 757 of the family's 1533-position model. The record is from RNAcentral.
UACGAGUGGUCCAAGCGUUAUCCGGAAUUAUUGGGCGUAAAGGAUGUGUAGGUGGUUAUGUUAGUCUGGUGUCUAACCUCUGAGCUCAACUUGGAGACAGCAUUGGAAACGGCAUGGCUAGAGUAUGUUAGGGGUAAGCGGAACUAAUAGUGUAGGGGUGAAAAUCCGUUGAUAUUAUUGGGAACACCAAGGGCGAAGGCAGCUUACUGGAACAUUACUGACACUGAAACAUGAA